GUACACUUGCCUAACUCUUUCUGCAAUUAUAAAAGGAUCGUAGCGAUCAUACUCCCUCUUUUUAUUAACCUCAAUUAUGUUGUACUGCGAGUGUACAUUUGUACCUCUUUUAGGUGUUGGGUCAAACCACUUAAGCCAACCUGAAUAUGGCAAUCCUAGAAUCUCUUUGAUCACACCAUAAUAAUCGUUUCCCCCAUCAUGGUUGCCUUCACCGCCUUUGACCCACACCCCACUAUUAUUGAUUUUUUAAUACUUGGAGAAUUCCUCAGUGUGAAAUUUGUAACCAUUCACAAAAUACUUAGACAUAGUCGGAACCGUAGGUGCAGGUCCCCAAGAUAUGUCUUGCAAAAAUUUAUUAUCACCAUUGUUUGGAUUAUUGACCUACAUGUAGUGUUAAAUAAAUCACAAGUGAGCAAGUAUAUUCACAAGUAUGUAAUCACACGUGAGAGAGUAUGUAAGAUGUACUUACACAUUCUUUAAACCAUGCCUCAAACGUAGAAUAUACAGCAGCAUGACCAAAUUGACUCACGAAGUCACUGAGCGACACAUUGAAAAUUAUUUGUUAGAUGUAUCAACCAAAUUAAAUAGUAGCCCAUGUAAAUUAAUCUUACAUCAACACUUACUUAAGAAAGGGUUGAACUUUAUCAAUCAAAUUAAAUAGUAGUCCAUGUAAAUUAAUCUUACAUCAACACUUACUUAAGAAAGGGUUGAACUUUCGGACAAUUUAGUAACACAUGAUUCUAGACAAUGCAGGUAAGUUGGUAGAAUAUUAUGACUGACUAUUAAAUCUAAUCAAAUGCAUAGAAGAUAUAAGGAGAGUUUUAACUAUAUUUGACCAACCUCUAUAUUGAACAAAGAGAGGCUUUUCUAGAUUAUGGAACCACUAUUAAUAUCUUGACAAAUAGGCUUUAAUUUAUAUAUCAAGGGGUCAAAGAGGAUAUUUAUAAAUGAACUGCUACAUUUAUAAUUUUUAUGCUUUAGCAUAUACUGAAUUAGGUCAUUGGAUGCUGAAAUACGGGAAAAAAAUGGCAGAGUCGCUCAUCAACAUAAACUAUGAGAAGAAACCGUCCCUUAUGGGUUGUUAAAGCCUGCCCCUUUAUAGAAAAUUUUUUCGUAUCUAUGGUUUAGUUUGAUUUCUUGAAGUCUCUUGGUGUUUCCCUUUGUACUAUCUCUUUUUCACCUUUUCACUUUUUCAUAAAUGAGCUAAUGCUCAUGCUAAGUAUAACAUAUGUUCCCUAAGAAGAGAUAAAGUUUGUGGUUUACAAGAACUAAAGGGUUGUAUGAAUAAUACUAACAUAAGAAAAGGCUCAUCAAACACCAUAUCUUUCAGUUGCUUCAAUAAUUUAAUUUAGCAUACACCUUUUACUUUUGAUAAUGAACAUUUAAACUACCGAUGCUAUCUUUCAUAAGCAAAAUAGGAGUACAGCCCCGUUUCUCCUUAAAAACUAUUUCUUUUUCGGAACUCAUUUUCAAAAUAUUGUUUGGUUAUAGAUUGGGACAAGAGGGGUUGCUCUGAUGGUAAGCAGCCCCCACUUCCAACUGAUAGGUUGUGAGUUCGAGUCUCCCCAAGAGCAAGGUGGGAAGUUCUUAGAGGGAAGGAUAUCAGGGGUCUAUUUGGAAACAGCCUCUCUACCCAAGGAUAAGGGUAAGGUCUGCGUACACACUAUCCUCCCAGACCUCACUUAAUGAAAUUAUACUGGGGUGUUGUUGAAAUGAUAUUCUUCAUGUAUUGUUUAAAUAUCUUCCUUUCCAAGAGCAUGAUAUAAUAUUUUGAUUUUUUCUUGUCCAAUUUAAUUAGGAGACACACUACCCUUCCCAACAGGCUUUGUUUUGAUUACAACCAACCAAUCAGCCUUAUCCCUCCGUAAUGGAUAUGGAGCACAGUACACUUGCCUAACUCUUUCUCCAAUUAUAAAAGGAUCAUAACGGUCAUACUCACUCUUUUUAUUAACCUCAAUUAUGUUGUACUGCGAGUGUACAUUUGUACAUCUUUUAGGUGUUGGGUCAAACCACUUACAUCGGAAAAGUAUGAUCUUCUUAUUUGGCCAACCUGAAUAUGACAAUUCUAGAAUCUCUUUGAUCACACCAUAAUAAU
Molecule: long non-coding RNA, 2095 nt
Filed under: Nicotiana benthamiana
Lineage: Eukaryota; Viridiplantae; Streptophyta; Magnoliopsida; Solanales; Solanaceae
Description: long non-coding RNA (NBEN_LNC024116)
Source: RNAcentral